Molecule: signal recognition particle RNA, 288 nt
Filed under: Hapsidospora chrysogenum ATCC 11550
Lineage: Eukaryota; Fungi; Ascomycota; Sordariomycetes; Hypocreales; Bionectriaceae
Description: Acremonium chrysogenum ATCC 11550 Fungal signal recognition particle RNA
Rfam family: Fungal signal recognition particle RNA
Source: Rfam by way of RNAcentral
GGCUGUAAUGGUCCAACGGUAGAAGACUCUCACUCAUCUCAACCCGAAUCCAUUUCCACGCCAAAUCCGUCAGAUCCCCCCCAGCGGCGCCCAGCCCGAACGCCGCGGUGGCCGCCCACUCGCUCGGGUAACCAGCGACUUUGUGGUGGCUUGGCCUUAAGAAGUUGAUGAUGAUGCUUCAGGGAGGUCUCACUCUGCAGAGACAUCAUCCCCGUCGCGUGGCGGUGCUGGAUUACGAGCGCGGGGGGUUUGGGGUGGCGGGUCGAGAUGGAGAUGUCAACUUCCUUU